AGCUGGAUAAGGCAAUCCGUUUUGUGGAUUAUGCCAAAAUAAGGACUUAUCCAUAGUG
RNAcentral lists this microRNA precursor (58 nucleotides) under Sarcophilus harrisii (Tasmanian devil). Its description in RNAcentral is "mir-7386 microRNA precursor family". It matches the Rfam family "mir-7386 microRNA precursor family". Lineage: Eukaryota; Metazoa; Chordata; Mammalia; Dasyuromorphia; Dasyuridae. The record is from Rfam by way of RNAcentral.